This 120-nucleotide transfer RNA is filed under the name Myoviridae sp. ctNQV2. Its description in RNAcentral is "tRNA-Tyr". It matches the Rfam family "tRNA". From Rfam's summary of the family: Transfer RNA (tRNA) molecules are approximately 80 nucleotides in length. Their secondary structure includes four short double-helical elements and three loops (D, anti-codon, and T loops). Further hydrogen bonds mediate the characteristic L-shaped molecular structure. tRNAs have two regions of fundamental functional importance: the anti-codon, which is responsible for specific mRNA codon recognition, and the 3' end, to which the tRNAs corresponding amino acid is attached (by aminoacyl-tRNA synthetases). tRNAs cope with the degeneracy of the genetic code in two manners: having more than one tRNA (with a specific anti-codon) for a particular amino acid; and 'wobble' base-pairing, i.e. permitting non-standard base-pairing at the 3rd anti-codon position. Lineage: Duplodnaviria; Heunggongvirae; Uroviricota; Caudoviricetes. The record is from RNAcentral.
ACAGUAUUAGCUCAGUUGGUUAGAGCAUCAGCCCAUAAUAGAAAUUUUUCAGUAUUUGAAAAAACAGCAAUAUAAUCUUAAACACGCAGAGGGUCAUUGGUUCGAGUCCAAUAUACUGUU